AGCGAACGCUGGCGGCAGGCCUAACACAUGCAAGUCGAACGGAUCCUUCGGGAUUAGUGGCGGACGGGUGAGUAACACGUGGGAACGUGCCCUUUGGUUCGGAACAACUCAGGGAAACUUGAGCUAAUACCGGAUGUGCCCUUCGGGGGAAAGAUUUAUCGCCAUUGGAGCGGCCCGCGUCUGAUUAGCUAGUUGGUGAGGUAACGGCCCACCAAGGCGACGAUCAGUAGCUGGUCUGAGAGGAUGAUCAGCCACACUGGGACUGAGACACGGCCCAGACUCCUACGGGAGGCAGCAGUGGGGAAUCUUGCGCAAUGGGCGAAAGCCUGACGCAGCCAUGCCGCGUGAAUGAUGAAGGUCUUAGGAUUGUAAAAUUCUUUCAGCGGCGACGAUAAUGACGGUACCCGCAGAAGAAGCUCCGGCUAACUUCGUG
RNAcentral lists this ribosomal RNA (433 nucleotides) under uncultured bacterium. RNAcentral's name for it is "partial 16S ribosomal RNA". It matches the Rfam family "Bacterial small subunit ribosomal RNA", at positions 29 to 507 of the family's 1533-position model. The record is from RNAcentral.